RNAcentral lists this ribosomal RNA (788 nucleotides) under Gigantometra gigas. RNAcentral describes it as "12S ribosomal RNA". Lineage: Eukaryota; Metazoa; Arthropoda; Insecta; Hemiptera; Gerridae. The record is from RNAcentral.
GAAAGAAAAGGAAGAUUGUUUACAAUUAAGAGCAUAUGGUGCAUAUAAGAGACGCCGGGAUGAUAGUUAUUAUAUAGGAACCAAUAACAUGUAAAGGUACAAUUAGUUAAGUAUUUAAGGUAAAUUAAGGUGAUGUGAGUUAAUGAUCAAGAUAUUCCCUAGCUAUAUAAAGAAGAAUCUAUAAGUUAUUAAGGUAUGUAUGAUUUAGUAGGUGUUAAUAACAUAUGAGUAAACCCGUUCUAGCAAUUUCACAGUCUAUCGUCGAGAUAAGGAGUAUUCGUGUUGGGGUAUAAAGGAUUAUGAGUAUAUAAGUAUUUAGUUAAGUUAAUGGUUAUAGGUAAAUAAAUAGGAUAUAGUACUUAUGUAUAUAUAGGUUAGUAUAUAUUCAAUAAAUGUUUAAUUGGGCGUAGCACUAUUAGGUGAGGGUAUAGGGUGUGGGCUAUCUUUAUUUAUGUUCCGUUCAAUUCUUCUUUAAUUAAAGUUUGAUUCUUUCUUUUAGGUUUGGAUUUUGAAUUAUUUUAUAUGUAAGAUUUUACUUUUUUAAUCUAAAUGAUUAUUUUGUAAUCAGUAUUUAAUUUUGGUUUUUAUUGAAAGANAAAAUCAGGAUUUUAAUUAUUUAACUGACAAAAAUUGUGCCAGCCGUCGCGGUUAUACAAUUAGUUAAAUUAAACUUUUUUGAUUAUAUAUUAAUUUUGUUUUUUAUAAUUUUAAUUUUGAUUUUUAGGUGAAAUUUUAAUUAUAUAUAUAUUAUAGGUUGAUGAUUUUAUAUAUGAAGAUUUUUUUAUAAA